UGGGGAAUUUUGGACAAUGGGCGAAAGCCUGAUCCAGCAAUGCCGCGUGUGUGAAGAAGGCCUUCGGGUUGUAAAGCACUUUUGUCCGGAAAGAAAUCCUUGGCUCUAAUACAGUCGGGGGAUGACGGUACCGGAAGAAUAAGCACCGGCUAACUACGUGCCAGCAGCCGCGGUAAUACGUAGGGUGCAAGCGUUAAUCGGAAUUACUGGGCGUAAAGCGUGCGCAGGCGGUUUGCUAAGACCGAUGUGAAAUCCCCGGGCUCAACCUGGGAACUGCAUUGGUGACUGGCAGGCUAGAGUAUGGCAGAGGGGGGUAGAAUUCCACGUGUAGCAGUGAAAUGCGUAGAGAUGUGGAGGAAUACCGAUGGCGAAGGCAGCCCCCUGGGCCAAUACUGACGCUCAUGCACGAAAAGCGUGGGGAGCAAAACAGGAUUAGAUACCCUGGUAGUCCACGCCCUAAAACGAUGUCAACUAGUUGUUGGGGAUUCAUUUCCUUAGUAACGUAGCUAACGCGUGAAGUUGACCGCCUGGGGAGUACGGUCGCAAGAUUAAAACUUAAAGGAAUUGACGGGGUCAUAGCUGUUUCCU
Molecule: ribosomal RNA, 588 nt
Filed under: uncultured bacterium
Lineage: Bacteria
Description: partial 16S ribosomal RNA
Rfam family: Bacterial small subunit ribosomal RNA
Source: RNAcentral